UAACGCGUGGGUAACCUACCCAUUAGCCAGGAAUAACUCCGGGAAACCGGAGCUAAUACCUGAUGCACUUUAAGGUAAGCAUUUACUUUAAAGAAAAGAUGGCCUCUCGAAGAAGCUAUCGUUAAUGGAUGGACCCGCGUCUGAUUAGCUAGUUGGUGAGGUAGAGGCUCACCAAGGCCAUGAUCAGUAGCCGGCCUGAGAGGGUGAACGGCCACACUGGGACUGAGACACGGCCCAGACUCCUACGGGAGGCAGCAGUGGGGAAUCUUCCGCAAUGGGCGCAAGCCUGACGGAGCAAUGCCGCGUGAGUGACGAAGGCCUUCGGGUUGUAAAACUCUGUCCUUAGGGAAGAACGGUCUAUAUGUGAAUAAUGUAUAGAAAUGACGGUACCUAAGGAGGAAGCCCCGGCUAACUACGUGCCAGCAGCCGCG
RNAcentral lists this ribosomal RNA (431 nucleotides) under uncultured bacterium. Its description in RNAcentral is "bacterial SSU rRNA". It matches the Rfam family "Bacterial small subunit ribosomal RNA", at positions 111 to 519 of the family's 1533-position model. The record is from RNAcentral.